Molecule: small nuclear RNA, 186 nt
Organism: Echinops telfairi (small Madagascar hedgehog)
Lineage: Eukaryota; Metazoa; Chordata; Mammalia; Afrosoricida; Tenrecidae
Product: U2 spliceosomal RNA
Exons: 1
Source: RefSeq, a predicted model, not a curated record
AUUUAUGACAUUAAAUUAAGGACAUGUGUAGUAUCUGUUCUUAUCAGUUUAAUACCUGAUACGUCCUCUAUCCAAGGACAAUAUAGUAAAUUAGUUUUUGGAGCAGGGAGAUGGAUUAGGAGCUUGCUCCGUCCACUCCACGCGUCGACCUGGUAUUGCAGUAUUUCCAGGACCGGUGCAAAAAAA